Molecule: non-coding RNA, 68 nt
Organism: Liolophura sinensis
Lineage: Eukaryota; Metazoa; Mollusca; Polyplacophora; Chitonida; Chitonidae
Source: the annotation of a RefSeq genome assembly
AAAAAUAGUUCGGAACAAGCUGUAGCUGCUAACUAUAACUUAAGUGGUUCAACUCCAUUUUAUUUUUU